Molecule: transfer RNA, 70 nt
Filed under: Setophaga dominica (yellow-throated warbler)
Lineage: Eukaryota; Metazoa; Chordata; Aves; Passeriformes; Parulidae
Also listed under: 1 other name
Description: tRNA-Asp
Rfam family: tRNA
About the family: Transfer RNA (tRNA) molecules are approximately 80 nucleotides in length. Their secondary structure includes four short double-helical elements and three loops (D, anti-codon, and T loops).
Source: RNAcentral
GAGACGUUAGUAAAAUAAUUACAUAGCCUUGUCAAGACUAAAUUGCAGGUGAAAACCCUGCACAUCUCCA